AUUCCGGUUGAUCCUGCCGGAGGACAUUGCUAUUGGGAUUCGAUUUAGCCAUGCUAGUCGAGCGAGUUCAGACUCGCGGCGAAUAGCUCAGUAACACGUGGCCAAGCUCCCCUUCAGUCAGCGAUACCCUCGGGAAACUGAGGUUAACAGCUGAUACAAAACGCCAGCUGGAAUGCGGCGUUUCAGAAAGACACCGCUGAAGGAUGCGGCUGCGGCCGAUUAGGUAGACGGUGGGGUAACGGCCCACCGUGCCAGUAAUCGGUACGGGUGAUGAGAGUCAGAGCCCGGAGACGGAAUCUGAGACAAGAUUCCGGGCCCUACGGGGCGCAGCAGGCGCGAAACCUUUACACUGCACGGAAGUGCGAUAGGGGAAUCCCAAGUGCGAGGGCAUAUUAGCCCUCGCUUUUCUCGACUGUAAGGUGGUCGACGAAUAAGAGCUGGGCAAGACCGGUGCCAGCCGCCGCGGUAAUACCGGCAGCUCAAGUGAUGUCCCAUAUUAUUGGGGCCUAAAGCGUCCGUAGCU
RNAcentral lists this ribosomal RNA (523 nucleotides) under uncultured haloarchaeon. RNAcentral describes it as "bacterial SSU rRNA". It matches the Rfam family "Archaeal small subunit ribosomal RNA", at positions 1 to 526 of the family's 1478-position model. The record is from RNAcentral. Lineage: Archaea; Methanobacteriati; Methanobacteriota; Halobacteria; Halobacteriales; Halobacteriaceae.